GACGAACGCUGGCGGCGUGCUUAACACAUGCAAGUCGAACGAAGAGCGAUGGAAGCUUGCUUCUAUCAAUCUUAGUGGCGCACGGGUGAGUAACGCGUAAUCAACCUGCCCUUCAGAGGGGGACAACAGUUGGAAACGACUGCUAAUGCCGCAUACGAUCUGACCUCGGCAUCGAGGAUAGAUGAAAGGUGGCCUCUAUUUAUAAGCUAUCACUGAAGGAGGGGAUUGCGUCUGAUUAGCUAGCUGGAGGGGUAACGGCCAACCAAGGCGAUGAUCAGUAGCCGGUCUGGGAGGAUGAACGGCCACAUUGGGACUGAGACACGGCCCAGACUCCUACGGGAGGCAGCAGUGGGGAAUCUUCCGCAAUGGACGAAAGUCUGACGGAGCAACGCCGCGGGAGUGAUGACGGCCUUCGGGUUGUAAAGCUCUGUUAAUCGGGACGAAAGGCCUUCUUGCGAAUAGUUAGAAGGAUUGACGGUACCGGAAUAGAAAGCCACGGCUAACUACGUG
This 510-nucleotide ribosomal RNA is filed under the name uncultured bacterium. RNAcentral describes it as "partial 16S ribosomal RNA". It matches the Rfam family "Bacterial small subunit ribosomal RNA", at positions 28 to 507 of the family's 1533-position model. The record is from RNAcentral.